GAUGAACGCUGGCGGCGUGCCUAACACAUGCAAGUCGAACGGAGUCCAGCCUUUAAGACCUUCGGGUCAAAGAGGGGAAGACUGAGUGGCGGACGGGUGAGUAACACGUGGGCAACCUGGCUCAUAGAGGGGGAUAACAGAGAGAAAUUUCUGCUAAUACCGCAUAAGCACACACUGCCGCAUGGCAGAGGGUGAAAAGAGAAUCGCUAUGAGAUGGACCCGCGUCUGAUUAGCCAGUUGGCAGGGUAAGAGCCUACCAAAGCGACGAUCAGUAGCCGAUCUGAGAGGACGAACGGCCACAUUGGGACUGAGACACGGCCCAAACUCCUACGGGAGGCAGCAGUGGGGGAUAUUGCACAAUGGGGGGAACCCUGAUGCAGCGACGCCGCGUGAGUGAAGAAGUAUUUCGGUAUGUAAAGCUCUAUCAGCAGGGAAGAUAAUGACAGUACCUGAAUAAGAAGCCCCGGCUAACUACGUG
RNAcentral lists this ribosomal RNA (478 nucleotides) under uncultured bacterium. Its description in RNAcentral is "partial 16S ribosomal RNA". It matches the Rfam family "Bacterial small subunit ribosomal RNA", at positions 28 to 507 of the family's 1533-position model. The record is from RNAcentral.